CUAAGAUUUCAUGGGACUUGGGGAAGGCACAGUAUUUUUUCUUUAUAUAUUACUAUGAAUUAUUUGUGUAAUAAAAAGAAGUGUUUGUUGAAGAAAUAGAAGUUUCCAGAAGGCCUAAACUGCUAAGUAAGGAGGUUUGGUAAUACUCUGUGAUCAACAAAAUGCUAUAACAGAUUUUUUUGAAAGCAAGGGACUGACAUGAUGAAAGCAUUGCUUUAGGAAGAUUAAUACUAUAGACAUGUAUUUUUUUCUUUUUAUUUUUAUUUUACUUUAAGUUCUAGGAUAAAAGUGCACAACAUGCAGGUUUGUUACAUAGGUAUACGUGUGCCAUGGUGGGUUUGCCACACCUAUCAACCCAUCAUCAAGGUUUUAAGCCCUGCAUACAUUAGCUAUUUGUCCUAAUGCUCUCCCUCCCCUCUCCCCGACCCUGCAACAGGCCCUGGUGUGUGAUGUUCCCCUCCCUGUGUCCAUGUAUUCUCAUCAUUCAACUCCCACCUAUAAGUGAGAACAUGCAGUUUUUGGUUUUCUGUUCCUGUGUUUGCUGAGGAUGAUGGUUUCCAGCUUCAUCCAUGUCCCUGCAAAGGACAUGAUCUCAUUCCUUUUUAUGGCUGCAUAGUAUUCCAUGGUGUAUAUGACAUGUACAUUUUUUAACAA
This 654-nucleotide long non-coding RNA is filed under the name Homo sapiens (human). Its description in RNAcentral is "HSALNT0362217". The record is from RNAcentral. Lineage: Eukaryota; Metazoa; Chordata; Mammalia; Primates; Hominidae.